UACGUAGGGGGCAAGCGUUGUCCGGAAUCAUUGGGCGUAAAGAGCGCGUAGGCGGCCCUGUAAGUCCGCUGUGAAAGUCCAGGGCUCAACCCUGGAAUGCCGGUGGAUACUGUCGGGCUAGAGUCCGGAAGGGGCGAGUGGAAUUCCUGGUGUAGCGGUGAAAUGCGCAGAUAUCAGGAGGAACACCAAUGGCGAAGGCAGCUCGCUGGGACGUGACUGACGCUGAGACGCGAAAGCGUGGGGAGCAAACAGG
This 253-nucleotide ribosomal RNA is filed under the name uncultured bacterium. RNAcentral's name for it is "partial 16S ribosomal RNA". It matches the Rfam family "Bacterial small subunit ribosomal RNA", at positions 524 to 776 of the family's 1533-position model. The record is from RNAcentral.